Molecule: long non-coding RNA, 1407 nt
Organism: Oncorhynchus keta (chum salmon)
Lineage: Eukaryota; Metazoa; Chordata; Actinopteri; Salmoniformes; Salmonidae
Exons: 2
Source: RefSeq, a predicted model, not a curated record
GGAGAAUCAGGACCAAUGUUUGCUGCUGCAGUAAAGAACCUAUCAGAACACUGAGUUGAAUGGUGUUCUAAAUGACAUCAUAAGAGACAGACUAGAAUGUGGCUACGGAGUGAAGAUACACUAAAGAGACUGUUGACUGAGGGUCAUCUGACCUUGGUGAAGGACAUUGAAAUCACUGUGUUCAUGGAACUAGCUGCUGAAGAGGAGUUCAUCAGGAACUUAGUGGGUUCAUCUAACAAUCCUAAUCACCAGCUGAUACAUUAUAAUCUCAUUAAACAGGGUUCACCUUCCUCCUAGAAAACAGUAGUCAACAGUAUUGUUUCUCUAGAUGUAAAAUCAUUCCUGCUGCUAUUUGGUCUUAUCUGUUUUCCUUUAAAAUAAUUAAAAAGUUGAUCACAAAAAAAAGGAAAAGUGCACAGGAAAAGAGUUUCAAAUGAAAAUCAGAGAGUUUCAGUCACAUGCUUCCACUGUGGGAAGGUGGGACAUCAGGCUUCUACAUGCUGAGGUAAGGACAUGGUCCAGCCUGUGGUAUAAAGGGACAUCAGGCUUCUUUCUACAUGCUGAGGUAAGGACAUGGUCCAGCCUGUGGUAUAAAGGGACAUCAGACUUCUCCAUGCUGAGGUAAGGACAUGGUCCAGCAUGUGGUAUAAAGGGACAUCAGACUUCUCCAUGCUGAGGUAAGGACAUGGUCCAGCCUGUGGUAUAAAGGGACAUCAGGCUUCUACAUGCUGAGGUAAGGACAUGGUCCAGCCUGUGGUAUAAAGGGACAUCAGGCUUCUACAUGCUGAGGUAAGGACAUGGUCCAGCCUGUGGCACAGUGGGACAUCAGGCUUCUAACAUGCUGAGGUAAGGACAUGGUCCAGCCUGUGGCACAGUGGGACAUCAGGCUUCUAACAUGCUGAGGUAAGGACAUGGUCCAGCCUGUGGGAAGGUGGGACAUCAGGCUUUUACAUGCUGUGGUCCAGCCUGUGGGAAGGUGGGACAUCAGUCUUCUACAUGCUGAGGUAAGGACAUGGUCCAGCCUGUGGUAUAAAGGGUGUUAGAGGAAAUUAUAGUUGAAAUGAUUAAUUAUGUAUACAUUUUUAAUUAGAACCAUUUAUUCUAAUACUAUUAUGUUAUGGUAUGAAAAGUAUGGGUUCUUGGUUAAGCUGUUACUGAAAAUGUAAGUAAAAACGAAUUAAUUGUCUGUACCUUGCAGGUUUAAGGGGGAGAGAGGAUAUAGCUUUUCAGACAUAUAAGAAUGUCUGGUUUAUGAGGAGAGUAGAAAACAUCUCAGAACCUAAAGACACUGGGCUAUUGCGAGAAUCGGAGAGAGUGUGAGAAACUGAUGAUGUCAUUUUCAGUUUAUAACCUGUGGAAAUAUGUGUAUGUGGGAGUGCUCUCUUGAAAUAAACACUGUUACCUUGG